CUCUGCAUUAUAUACACACUACACACUCUGUAUAUAAUGCAGAGUGUGUAGUGUGUGUAUAUAGUGUAGUG
This 71-nucleotide microRNA precursor is filed under the name Pelobates cultripes (western spadefoot toad). Lineage: Eukaryota; Metazoa; Chordata; Amphibia; Anura; Pelobatidae. The record is from RNAcentral.